GACGAACGCUGGCGGCGUGCUUAACACAUGCAAGUCGAACGGAAAGGCCCUGCUCUUGUGGGGUGCUCGAGUGGCGAACGGGUGAGUAACACGUGAGUAACCUGCCCUUGACUUUGGGAUAACUUCAGGAAACUGGGGCUAAUACCGGAUAGGAGCUCCUGCUGCAUGGUGGGGGUUGGAAAGUUUCGGCGGUUGGGGAUGGACUCGCGGCUUAUCAGCUUGUUGGUGGGGUAGUGGCUUACCAAGGCUUUGACGGGUAGCCGGCCUGAGAGGGUGACCGGCCACAUUGGGACUGAGAUACGGCCCAGACUCCUACGGGAGGCAUCAGUGGGGAUGAUUGCACAGUGGGCGGAAGCCUGAUGCAGCAACGCCGCGUGCGGGAUGACGGCCUUCGGGUUGUAAACCGCUUUCGCCUGUGACGAAGCGUGAGUGACGGUAAUGGGUAAAGAAGCACCGGCUAACUACGUG
This 468-nucleotide ribosomal RNA is filed under the name uncultured bacterium. RNAcentral describes it as "partial 16S ribosomal RNA". It matches the Rfam family "Bacterial small subunit ribosomal RNA", at positions 28 to 507 of the family's 1533-position model. The record is from RNAcentral.